Molecule: long non-coding RNA, 687 nt
Organism: Balaenoptera ricei (Rice's whale)
Lineage: Eukaryota; Metazoa; Chordata; Mammalia; Artiodactyla; Balaenopteridae
Exons: 3
Source: RefSeq, a predicted model, not a curated record
GAGUCAGAGAGAGGAACCCCAGAGAAAGUCAGGCAGACAGAGACGGACAGACACCCGGAGUGACAGAGGAUAAGAGAUGGAGAGAGACACCCCCAGAGGGGAAAAAGUGGUCGGAGAGACACACAGAGGGAAACGGACAGAAAGAGACAAAAACAGACUGACAGAGACAGUGACAGAGACACCUAGGGCACAGGGAGAGAUAAAGACAGAGACGGGAGAGAGAGAGAGAAAUGGAGACCCACAGAGAUGGUAGGAUUGGAGGCAGAGCCCCUGGCCCCAGAGGUGGAAGGCGCAGACAAACAGCCGUGGGGGCCUGGCUGGUGGAGAAGCUGCCUACCUUGGACCUGAGGAUAUUUCAGCAGGAGCAGGAGAGUGUAGCGAAUCGUGGUGCUGACUGUCACCGUCCCGGCGAACAACAGGGGACACAGGUUCGAGCCCUGGUCCGGGAAGAUCCCACGUGCCGCGGAGCAACUAAGCCCAUGCGCCACAACUACUGAGCCUGCGCUCUAGAGCCCGCAAGCCACAACUACUGAGCCCGUGUGCCACAACUAAUGAAGCCCACGCGCCUAGAGCCCAUGCUCCGCAACAAGAGAAGCCACCCCAAUGAGAAGCCCGCGCACCGCAACGAAGAGUAGCCUCCACUUGCUGCAACUAGAGAAAGCCUGCUCACAGCAACGAAGACCCAAC